Non-coding RNA from Arvicanthis niloticus (Nile rat), 563 nucleotides. The record is from RefSeq and is a predicted model, not a curated record. NCBI's taxonomy places the organism in Eukaryota, Metazoa, Chordata, Mammalia, Rodentia, Muridae.
CCUUGCUGUCAGGCUAGCACCGCUGUCCUCAGCCGUCACCAUGAUCAUCUACCGGGACCUCAUCAGCCAUGACGAGCUGUUCUCUGACAUCGACAAGAUCCAGGAGAUUGCGGACGGGCUGUGCCUGGAGGUGGAGGGCAAGAUGGUCAGUAGAACAGAGGGUGCCAUCGAUGACUCACUCAUUGGUGGAAAUGCUUCCGCUGAAAGUCCAGAGGGCGAAGGCACUGAAAGCACAAUAGUCACCGGUGUUGACAUUGUCAUGAACCAUCACAUACAAGAAACCAGCUUCACAAAAGAGGCCUAAAAAAAGUACAUCAAAGACUACAUGAAAUCACUCAAGGGCAAACUUGAAGAACAGAAACCAGAAAGAGUAAAGCCUUUUAUGACUGGAGCUGCGGAGCAAAUUAAGCACAUCCUUGCUAACUUCAAUAAGUACCAGUUUUUUUUAUUGGUGAGAACAUGAAUCCAGAUGGUAUGGUUGCUCUCCUGGACUACCAUGAACAUGGUGUGACUCCAUUCAUGAUUUUCCUUAAGGAUGGCUUAGAGAUGGAAAAACAUUAACA